UAUGAAAGGGUUAACGAGGAAGAUGCUGUGUCUAAAAACUUAGUUUAAACUAACUUAAAGGUGAAGAGGCCUUUAUAAGAAAGAAGGACGACAAGACCCUAUGAAGCUUUAUCUUAUUAGGGAUUUGAAAGAUCCUUAUACGAUUUUGAUGGGAGAUCAGUAAAAAUAAGUCUUUUACCAUUAUUUUUAUCUUACAAGUGUUUCCUAAUUUUAUAUGUGUGACUAGCUACUCUAGGGAUAACAGCGCAAUUUCUCCCGAAAGAUGGUAUUGGAGGGGAAGAUUGCGACCUCGAUGUUGGC
RNAcentral lists this ribosomal RNA (300 nucleotides) under Mytilus coruscus. RNAcentral's name for it is "partial 16S ribosomal RNA". It matches the Rfam family "Bacterial large subunit ribosomal RNA", at positions 1991 to 2536 of the family's 2925-position model. The record is from RNAcentral. Lineage: Eukaryota; Metazoa; Mollusca; Bivalvia; Mytilida; Mytilidae.